This is a long non-coding RNA of Cavia porcellus (domestic guinea pig), 3000 nucleotides long. Lineage: Eukaryota; Metazoa; Chordata; Mammalia; Rodentia; Caviidae. The record is from Ensembl.
GUGUCUCUGUCACUUAAUGUGCAAUCUGUUGCCUGUCUGUUUUGAAAUGGGGGCUCCUUUUAAUGAGUUAAUUCUGCAGGCGGCAGGCUUAGGAGGAGCCCAUGUGUGAGUGCAGAUUUCAACAUAUCUCUGUGUGCGCCCCGACUGUGUGCAUGCGUUUCUGACACCUCGGCCUGCAGAAUUAACCCGUUAAAGGAGCCCCGGGGAGCAGGCCGUGCAUCGUCUUGACGAGUGUCCUCCCGCUCACACCUGCCAGCCGCUCCGUCUGCCUGUCUCUGCCCCGUGGAGAGCGGCUCUUUGAUGCCUGGCGCAGGCAGAGCUGGUGUCUGCAGAGCUUGGCGCUGGAGGAGCCGCCUGCUGCCUGCCUGCCCUUCCGGUCACCCGCGCUGGGAGGCUGCUUCUCAUCCCGAGCCCUGCCGUCCACUACGCUGUGGCCUGGUGCGUCCCCUGCAGGGCAGCACCUGCUACUCCCCGCACGGCGCGUACGCCCAGAGCAAGCUGGCCCUGGUCCUUUUCUCGUACCAUCUCCAGAGGCUGCUGGACACCGAGGGCAGCCACGUGACCGCCAACGUGGUGGACCCCGGGGUGGUGGACACCAACCUCUACCAGCACGUGUUCUGGGGCACCCGGCUGGUGCAGCGGCUCCUGGGCUGGCUCAUCUUCAAGGACUUGCUGAGGUUCCGGAUGUUGCUGGUUCUUUUAUCAAUACAUUCCCUGGACGUGAUGACAGAACGGUUUGAAAGUCACUCAUCAAACGAGCUCCCGCACCGUGCCCCCCGCUUCCGUGUCCCCCAGGAGCCGUCCUCCGUCCCUGGCGGGGUCUGAGUGUCUGUCGGCUUCUCGUCCUGUUUCCGUCUCUCGUGGACGCAUCUCUGCCCUCUUGGCUGUCCUUUCCGUCCUGGUGGUUGAUGCUUUAGCCUGGCACCCACUUGGCAAGCGCACGGCUGGUUACAGCAUCCCCGGGACACUUUGGAGGGAAAUUGGUUGCCCGACAGGAGCGGCCCCCUCGGUGUGCUCGGCUCCUGGGCCCCGCGUGCUCAGGGCUUCCCUCCUUCACACCUAUGCGUACCAUUUCAUGCACGCCAUAACUGAUCACCGACCGCAUUGCAUAGUUCUCCUGCUUUAAAUACCUGAAGCAUCACGCUUCAGUUUUGUUGCAAAAAAAUAUACUGACAGAGCUAUGCUGCAGACUGGCCGCCUGCGUUUAUAAAUACAGUUUUACUGGCAGGGACUGGCUGCCUGUGUCUAUACAGAAAGUUUUAUUGGUAUGGGCUGGCCUCCUGAUUUUAUAAAUAAAGUUUUAUUGACACAGACUGUUCACUUGCAUUUAUAGAUAAAGUUUUUUGGGACAGUCUGGCUAUCUGCAUUUAUGAAUAAAGCUUUACUGACACAGAUAGUUUGCCUGCAUUUGUAAAUAAAGUUUUAUUAGCACAGACUGGCUGCCUGUGUCUUUACAGAAAGUUUUAUUGGUAUGGGCUGGCCUCCUGAUUUUAUAAAUAAAGUUUUAUUGACAGAGUGUUCGCUUGCAUUUAUAAAUAAAGUUUAUUGGCAUAGUGUGGCUAUCUGCAUUUAUGAAUAAAGCUUUAUUGACACAGAUAGUUUGCCUGCAUUUGUAAAUAUUUAUUGGCACAGACUGGCUGCCUGUGUCUAUACAGAAAGUUUUAUUGGUAUGGGCUGGCCUCCUGAUUUUAUAAAUAAAGUUUUAUUGACAUAGACUGCUUGUCUGCAUUUAUAGAUAAAGUUUUUUGGCACAGUCUGGCUAUCUGCAUUUAUGAAUAAAGCUUUAUUGACACAGAUGGUUUGCCUGCAUUUGUAAAUAAAGCUUUAUUGGCACGCAGUGGCCACCUGCAUAAGUCAAUGGCACAGCCUGGCAGCCUGCAUUUACAAAUAAAGUUUUAUUGGCAGUGCCUGGCUGCCUGCAUUUAUAAAUAAAGUUUUAUUGGCAAAGCCUGGCCCCCUGCAUUUAUGAGUAAAGUUUUAUUGGUAUAGACUGUCUGCAUUUAUAGUUUACUAACAAGGACUGGCUACUGUGUUUUUUUUGAUUGGGGGGGGUUUCGAUUUCUUUUUUUUUUUUUUUUUUUUUUUUUUUUUUUUUGUACUACGGAUUAAUUGCGCGACCUCACGUUUGUCAGGCAGGUGCGUAUGGCACUGAGGUAAAUCCCCGGCCCUUGCAUUUGUAAAUAAAGUUUCGUUGGCACAGACUGGCCACCUGCAUUUAUAAACAGUUUAUUGACAUCGCCUGGCCUCCUGCAUCAGUGAUAAAGAUUUAGGGGCAGGGAGCGGCCACCCUGUUGGUGGCUGACGUGUUACCAGCCCGCAGCCGCCGCUGCCUGCCCCUGGCCCCGUCAGUGCCCUCGGCCUGUCCGGGUUCCCUGGCCUGGGCGGCAGGAAUCCAUUUCCUCGUCUUCCUCGAGAGCCCCUGCGGGGAGCAAAGUGUGGAGGAUUUGUUUAAAAAAAAAAGAUCAGCAGCCCUUUGCCUCUGUCUGGUGCGACCAUCUGCGCCCGGUGCUCAAGUUAUACAGCAAGGUUUCUGCUUUGAAAAGUGGAACGUUGGGCCGGGGACGUAGCUCAGCGACACAGACGCCUGCCAGGCAAGCUGAGGUCCUGAGUUCGAGUCCUGUACCAGAAAAAAGAAAAUCAGCAUCCUUCGCCUCUAAACUCUGGCCAGGUCAGGGAGUUGCUGGAGAGUGUUUCCGAGCCAGUGUUUGAAGUUUCUGUCCUGCUCAACGGGGGUUCGGAUUUUCCUCUGAGCUAAUGACCCGUCUGUCCCCUGACCUCGCGGGGUGAACGCGCUGCUGACCCCGCUCCAGCGGCCCCUUUGUGUCCAGGUCACUCUGCUUAGCACCCGCCUGUGCCUGUCUGAAUUCUUCAGCAAAAAGAAAGCCUCCAGAUUCCUUCCUUCACCCCCAAACACGGUCCCCUGUCCCCACAAAACCCCCAGUCUCCCCAGUCCCUCUGGUGCUAAACUCACGUCCCUGCUGGGAUCCUGACAAUGGCUUG